RNAcentral lists this ribosomal RNA (253 nucleotides) under uncultured bacterium. Its description in RNAcentral is "partial 16S ribosomal RNA". It matches the Rfam family "Bacterial small subunit ribosomal RNA", at positions 524 to 776 of the family's 1533-position model. The record is from RNAcentral.
UACGUAGGGGGCUAGCGUUGUCCGGAAUCAUUGGGCGUAAAGCGCGUGUAGGCGGUCCGGUAAGUCCGCUGUGAAAGUCGAGGGCUCAACCCUCGAAUGCCGGUGGAUACUGUCGGGCUAGAAUACGGAAGAGGCGAGUGGAAUUCCUGGUGUAGCGGUGAAAUGCGCAGAUAUCAGGAGGAACACCAAUUGCGAAGGCAGCUCGCUGGGACGUUACUGACGCUGAGACGCGAAAGCGUGGGGAGCAAACAGG